CGCCCGGUGGAUGCCUUGGCUCGGAAGCCGAAGAAGGGCGCGGCAAGCUGCGAAAAGCCGGAGGGAGGUGCAUGCAACCGUUGAUCUCCGGAUUCCCGAAUGGGAUAUCCUGCCGAAAGGCAUCCCGUAAGGGAGGGGAACGCGGGGAAGUGAAACAUCUUAGUACCCGCAGGAGUAAAAAACAAAUUGUGAUUUCCUGAGUAGGGGCGACCGAAAGGGAAGAAGCCUAAACCGAAUCCUCUAAAGUAAUUUAGAGGAGAUGUGGGGUAAAGGAGCGGGAGCUUCCCGUUAUUGUAUUCUCAGAACUCCGGUGGAAGUCCGGGGCCGUAGAGGGUGACAGCCCCGUAUGGGAAUACAAUAACGGGAUUUCCCGUUUCCGGAGUACCGGCGGUUGGAUUUCCGUCGGGAAUUUGGGGGAAACUAGCCCCCAAGGCUAAAUACUCUCCGAGUCCGAUAGCGUAUUAGUAGGGCGACCGAAAGGUGAAAAGAACCCUUGGCAGGGGGUGAAAAGAGCCUGAAACCGGGUGGGGAUAGUCUGGUAGGGCUAGUUAAGCAUCCUAUCUGGGAAAAUCUGGUGACAGAUGAGUACCAGAUAGGAUGCUAGCUAGUUCUACCGUGAGUUUUGAAGAACUUGCGGGGGAGUAUACCCGAGUGGCGAGGUUAAGGUUUAUACCGAAGCCAUAGGGAAACCGAAAGCCCGCAACCUGGGCUUUCCCAGGUGAGGGGCGCUGUCCCAUAAGGGCGGUUUAGUCACUCGGGUAUGACCGGAAACCGGGCGAUCUACCCCGGGGCAGGGUGAAGCGGGGUUUCCCGUGGAGGCCCGAAGAGGUGGAGCAUGCUCCUCUCAUGACCCUGGGGUAGAGGUGAAAAGCCACUCGGGCCCGGUGAUAGCCGGUCCCCGCCGAAACUGACCCCAGCCAGGUCUCGGGUUAGGAUCCCUAUGGUGUAGAGCGACGGAUUCUGUACGGGUUUCCGUACAGAGUCCAACUCCGAAGCCAUAGGGUCCGAAGCCCGGGAAACGGGGGUUGCGGGAAAGCCGCAACUCCGAGACGGGAACAACCGAGACCGAGGUUAAGGCCCCAAAGUGCUGGCUAAACGAUGUUGAAGGAGUCUGCCCUCUAAGACAUCGGGGAUGUGGGCCUAAUAGUGGCCAUCAUCUAAGGAGUGUGUAACAACUCACCCGACGAGGGGGUAGGCUCCGAAAACGGACGGGUCUAAGCCAGCCGCCGAGACCUCGGUCCGCUGGCAAAUGCCAGCGUGAGGUAGGCGGGCGUCCCGAUGGCCUAGAAGGGUUCCCGAAAGGGAGCCUGGAGCCGUCGGGAAUGAAGAUCCCCGCGGUAGUAAGAAUCAGACGGGUGAGAAUCCCGUCGGCCGAAAGGGGAAAGGUUUCCCAGGCAAUGAAGAUCAGCCUGGGGUUAGUCGAUCCUAAUCCAGGCUCCGAGAGGAGUCUGGAGAAAGGGAAAGGGGUUAAUAUUCCCCUACCGCUCCGAUAGAUGCGGCAACGCAACGCUCUUUCCCGACCCGGAGGGCUAGGCGUACAUGGGGGUGGGGUAAGACCCACUUACCAUGCCAAGGGGGAUAAGACCGGGGAGUACCGUCAUGGUGAGAACCGGUCUAAACCCUGAUGGGCCCGAAAGGGUUACGCCGAGGCCUUCCGGCAAUGAAAAGGGAAAGGGUGCGAUUCGGAGCGAUCGUACCGGAAUCCAGCAUAGGUCCCCUGGGUGAGAAGCCUAAGGCCGUGGGGGUCAAGCCGGUCCAGGGAACUUGGCAAAUUAGUCCCGUAACUUCGGGAGAAGGGAUGCCUGCGGUGUGGACCGCAGGUCGCAGUGACAAGGACGGGCGGACUGUUUACCAAAAACAUAGCUCCCAGCAAGCCCGAAAGGGUUUGUACUGGGGGUGACGUCUGCUCGGUGCCGGUAUCUGAAUCCCCCGUUCAAGGGGGGUAAGGACCGGUAAACGGCGGGGGUAACUCUGACCCUCUUAAGGUAGCGUAAUGCCUUGCCAGUUAAAUGCUGGCUCUGCGAACGACGUAAC
Molecule: ribosomal RNA, 2034 nt
Filed under: Candidatus Nanopusillus sp.
Lineage: Archaea; Nanobdellati; Nanobdellota; Candidatus Nanoarchaeia; Nanoarchaeales; Nanopusillaceae
Description: partial 23S ribosomal RNA
Rfam family: Archaeal large subunit ribosomal RNA
Source: RNAcentral